Molecule: transfer RNA, 75 nt
Filed under: Verrucomicrobiia bacterium
Lineage: Bacteria; Pseudomonadati; Verrucomicrobiota; Verrucomicrobiia
Description: tRNA-Phe
Rfam family: tRNA
About the family: Transfer RNA (tRNA) molecules are approximately 80 nucleotides in length. Their secondary structure includes four short double-helical elements and three loops (D, anti-codon, and T loops). Further hydrogen bonds mediate the characteristic L-shaped molecular structure. tRNAs have two regions of fundamental functional importance: the anti-codon, which is responsible for specific mRNA codon recognition, and the 3' end, to which the tRNAs corresponding amino acid is attached (by aminoacyl-tRNA synthetases). tRNAs cope with the degeneracy of the genetic code in two manners: having more than one tRNA (with a specific anti-codon) for a particular amino acid; and 'wobble' base-pairing, i.e. permitting non-standard base-pairing at the 3rd anti-codon position.
Source: RNAcentral
GGCUGAGUAGCUCAGUAGUAGAGCAGGGCCCUGAAAAGGCCUGUGUCGGGGGUGCGAUUCCCUCCUCAGCCACCA